This is a non-coding RNA of Caretta caretta (loggerhead turtle), 799 nucleotides long. The record is from RefSeq and is a predicted model, not a curated record. Lineage: Eukaryota; Metazoa; Chordata; Testudines; Cheloniidae.
AUUCACAAGUUGAGAAAACAAAGAUAAACUAAUCCACCUUGCCUGGCUGUUACUUACAAGUUUGAAACAUGAGAGACUUGUUUAGAAAGAUUUGGAGAACGUGGAUUCAUUUCCAGUCCCUCUUAGUCCCAAGAGCAAACAAACACACAAAGAAAGAACCCAAAUAAAGCCUCCCCCCACAAGAUUUGAAAGUAUCUUUUGUCUCCAUUGGUUCCUUUGGUCAGGUGCCAACCAGGUUACUUGAGCUUCUUAACCCCUUACACCGAGGACUGAGUCAGGAGGCUCCUUCCAGUCCAAUGUCUUCGGCUGAAACUUUUCCAGCCUCAGCGUUCUGACGCAUGGACCCAAACUCUGUCUCAGCUGCACUGGGAUUCCAUCUCCUGACUGAUCGUGGUGGGGGCUCUGCCUGUCUCCAGCACUCAGGACCCUGAGCUACCUCCAUCAACUGGGAACCCCGACCUGUUCAAGCUCCAUGGAGUGGCUUCCCCCAUUUACUCUGCAGCGGUGCUCCUUGUACUGAAGCUGAAGAUCCCCUGUAGUGCCAAAAAUCCUGUGGGUUUGCUCAUCAGGUGGGUUACGGCCAGUACAAUUGUGACGUGAAAGUGAGGACAGGGACGUGUUAAACCUGCGGCAUAUAAGGGAGGGGAGCAGCUGAAAGCGGUGCUUGAUCCAGCCCAUUGAGUACAGGGACAUAGAAGGGGGUCAGCUUGAGAGGGCUGAUUGACGCGGUCCGGGGGAACCGAGGUCCUGCAGGAUAGCUCCAUUGGGAGGGGACUUGCAGAAGGAAGGAGUGGCGCUC